Ictidomys tridecemlineatus (thirteen-lined ground squirrel) is the source of this 5153-nucleotide non-coding RNA. NCBI's taxonomy places the organism in Eukaryota, Metazoa, Chordata, Mammalia, Rodentia, Sciuridae. The record is from RefSeq and is a predicted model, not a curated record.
AAAACCGACCUCAGUACUGCUGUGGAACAAUGGGAAAUGGUGUGUCAGUUGUGAAAUGCCACACUGAUACUAGUGGGUGCCAUUUGGAAUAUAGUGAGCAUUUACCCCUCUCCUUUCCCAUCUUCCAUAACAAGAAACUGGUUCUCUCCCUCUCUCCUCUUUGGAAAAUUAUUCCUGCUAAGCAUGGGCACCUCUGACAGCAAAACCUCCAAUUACCAGCCUCUCCAGUAAUAAAAUGCAUGCCAGCCACUUCCUGUUUUCCCCUUUUGUAAGUAGAUCACUGCUGCCAGAACCUCUCAAGGCCAUACCUCUGAUGCCUCCUCAGGCCAACCACACCAUGGCCCUCUCCAGUUCUCUCUCUCUGCUCCAGUGAGCAGCCCAGGGCCACUCUGAGCAGGCUGGCUUGCAAGGCUGCUGCUGGGAUAGGAGCAGGCAGAAGACAUGGUGACACAGAACAAGGAUGCCUGUUUGAUGGGUCCUGAUGGAAGACCCACCUCUGACCCCAGAAUUAACCCUCUUCUCAGCCAUCACUGAAACUUUAUCUUUCUUAUCUUCAACUUCCUCAUGGGUAAAAUGAGAAGCUUGGGUUAGAGGAUUUCUAAGGCUUUUCUAGUGCUAUGGUAUUUGGAAGGAUCCAGCCAAUCCAGGCAGGCUGAUGUGUCUGUUCCAUGAUCAUCUUCUUCAGAGAGGCAGAGGGAAAGUCAGGACUCAUUCCCCAGAGCAAAGGUGGAGCACCAACCCUCAAAAUCCUACUGUAUCCCACUCUGCAGUAACUGCUUCAAGUUGCUUUAAUGUCAUCCUGGUAGAAAAUAUUAGACCAGUAUUGUCAUUUCCAUUAAAAAAAGAUGGGAUCUCUUUGAUUUGAAGUGGUUAACCUCAUGAGAGGGAGGGAGGAUUACUUGUAAAUGCCAGUCUUUCUGACUCCAAAGCCCAGGCUGACAGGUGACCAAGGAAGUGCCCCAUAAAGAACUGCAGACACCGUGGCCUCACUCGUGUUUUCCGCCCAGUUGGCAGUCAUUUCCUUUACUCAUGCACUGCCUCAUUUAAUAUCCACAAGCGCACACGUGGGAAUGCAGGUGGCCCCCUGCUGACAAGGAGAAGACUGACUUUCCUACAGUCACUUGGCUGGUAAACGAGAGGGCUGGGACUGGAAUCCUGAUAUCCAAAUCACCGCAGUUGGAAAAGAAGCAACUCCAAGAACCGGCUGCUGUCUCCAACUCCCCAAUUCACAGCCAGUGCCACUGAGGCAUGAGGACCAUUCCAAUAAAGAUGGCUUUUUACAAGUUGUCAUGAGGAAUAAAACAAAAACUGACUUUUGAAAGACCUCCCGGAGAGCAAGAGGGAAAAACAGACAGCAAACCAACCUCUCUAUUUCAAAAUCUUCUCAAGACUUUUGUGGUGAAUAAUCCAUUUCCAGAAUCAAAUACAUUAUGAUUUGAGAUGAUGUCACCCUGCUGUUCCACAGAAGCAAAGCCCUGAACAACCCUCGGAGACUUCCACUUCUCAGGUUCUCCUGUCCCUGGGAACCAUCGGAGCUUGUCUUGGUUCUCCUCCUAGAUGCCGUUGGCUUUCCUCAAGUUUGUCUUGGUUGUCUGUCUUCAUGGAACAAAAUCAGACUGACUGAUCUGAGGAGUGUGCCGUGGGUUCCUCUGCAUAAAGAAAGAUUUGACUACGGAUUUAUUGUUGCAUUUCUGAAGCCCUGAGAUUUUGUGCUGAGGUCUUCUGGGACCCCUGAUCAUGGCUCUCCUUAGAGUUUUCGGUGGACACAACAUCUUUGUAUGUGGUGCUGAAGAUUGAACCCAGGCCGCCUGACCGCUUGAGCCACAUCCCCAGCCCUGGCUGAUACCUGGUUCCAGGAGCCUGACAUGUUCUUCUGUGCUUGGCACCUCGCACAGCCCCAGAUUGCAAAUCUGGAAUGAAUGUUCUUUCCUGUCACCAAUGUUGUAACUCCCCGGAAGGAUCCUGGACUUUCUCCAGGAGGCCUGAAGCCAGCAGCUGAAUCCCAAAGUCCCUACCUCCCCUUCUCACCAGAGCCGUUCACAAGACUUCCCUGCAGGGGCCGGUAGGCACCUUGCUGUAUGUAGCCAAGCUGUAAAUGAGUGAACAAUAUAAAAAUAAUAAUAAAUUGAACUCAGUGGGAGAGAGGUGGGUGGUGUUGGGCCUGUGUUUACCUAAGGUGGGUCUGGGGAAAACUUCAUGGACUGGUCAGGCUUUUGAGAUUUGUUUUAAACGUGGCUGGAAAAGGUGAGAACAAACUGAAGGAAGAACUGGGCACAAGUCCCUGGCACCCUCUGAAAGUCCUCAUGACUCUCUGGGUACACUGCGUACAGCAUCCUGGUAGGACUGGCCAGGACUCAGCGCUUCUAACACCAACAACUGUUGAAUUUGUGGGCUCUUUGGCUCAGAAAGCUCAUCUUGCAGCAUCUUCUGACACAUAAUUACUGAACAUCCACCAAGAGCCAGCUGCUGGGUGCACUGGGGACACACAGAAGUGUCUAUCCAGUAGGAACCUGACAAUCUAGACAACUGUCCCACCCCACCCCAUGCAUCUGCUCCCCCUGUGAUAGUGAACCCACAGUUUGGAGAUGAGACUGGAUUUCCCGCUGGCAGGUUCUUGUCUUGUGAAUUGGAAGAAUGAAAUCCACAGACCAGGAUGAGCUAAAGUGUGUAAGAGCCAGUGAAGAAGGCAGCACUGGGGGCUAGAUCUGAAGAUGCAAGAGAGGAUCCGACAUGGUCCUGGCCCUCAUCUUCCUGCUUUCCCAUGAGGGAGACCCACGCUACAGGGCCCUGUGGUAGGAAGAAGCUGUUGUGUUCUAAUCUACAUCAGUGCUUCCCAAACUUCCGUCUGCUUAUCUAUCACCUGGGGAUGGUGUUGGACUCCUGGUUCUGAGUCGUGUGCCCAGCCUUCCAGAAUCCUGAGAGGACCUGAAGUACUGCAGUGGAAGAGAUUUUCUCAUACUUUAUUAACUGUUAAAAACAUCAUUUACUUGGAAGAAGCAAUUUGAAGAGCCAAGGAUGGGUCCAGGGAAAGAUGUAACUUUCUGAGCUUUCACUCUGUGGAUUGGGACAGACCUUUUUCUGAGUGACAGAGCUGUAUCCUUGUAAGUACUACUGAAAGGGUGGACUCACUAGUUCAAAUGCUUUUCAUUGACACCAUUUUUUAACCAUUAUUAUUUUUUUUCAACUGUAACAAAAUUAUUGAUUUAAAAAAUUUGCAGGGCUGUGGUUUUCUAUUAAGAGAAAAAAGGGCAACUAUGUUUCAUCAGGUACUGUCUCAGUGUUCUCUAAAACAGAUGUCAUAUAUAUGCAAGCAGAGCCACACUUUGCUACAAAGACACACAGUGCUUUCCCUGGUCUGUCUAGUAAAAGCUAUAGUAUGUCUAGGGGUGGGAAAAUGUAGUGUGCUUCUUUCUCAUUUUUGCAGACUCUCUGGAGGCUCAGGAGCUCAAAGUCAUGAAGGAGGCUCAGGAUCAUCAGGGGUCAUGGACAGGCCUCUUGAUGUCUAUUUAGUGUGAGCGUUCAUACCCACUACAUGUGUGGAUUUAACCACAACAUAUGUUGCAUUUUACUGUUCAAUAUCUUUGUUUCUCAGCCACCUGGUUUCAAAUUUGUGAUCUCUGCAUUUGAUGUAGAAAGCUAAGAUGUUUCAUGCAGGACAUUUCAAAAGCCAGAAACUGAUGCCUGAAGUGUGACAAAACCAUCUUUUUAUGGACAUGAAAUCCUGAGUAAAAUUUUUUAACUAACUACAAAGCAAAAGACAUUGAUUUCUGGGUGCAGGGAUGCAUGCCUUGUAUCCAAGCAGUGCAUGAGCCUGAAGCAGGAUAAUCACAAGUUUAAAUCCAGUCUUAGUAGUAAAAGUGAUACCCUAAGCAACUCAGUGAAAUUGUGUCUCUAAAUAAAUACAAAAUAGGGCUGGGAUGUGGCUUAGGGGUUGAAUGCCCCUGAAUUCAAUCCUCGGUAUACAACCAAAACAAAAUUAAAUAAAUAAGACAUCGACAUAGGACCAUGCUGUCCAGCUGAGAUUAUGGGGAAUAUAUUGAUGUGACCAUAGACUUCAGGCAUAAGAUAAUUUUAUUAAUGUGUUGGUUUGGUACAAAUAGGCCUGUAAGUCCAGAUAUAGCUUUUGAAAAAAAAAUGAUUUGAUUUCAAUCAAUACAGAGAAACUGAGGAAAGUACAAUUGAACCUGGAGAGGUCCACAGAAGGAAAGAAGGUGAAGCAUCCAAUCAUGCUUCCUGCCCACUUCCAUGGGCUAAUGAGUAAUGGCCAUUUGGGCAAGGGUUGAAAUUUUAUGGAGUCAGUGCUGCAGAGCUAUUUCUGGGCAAUUGUAAUUGUUCUUCCCAGUAUGAAGUUUCUGGUGACCAAUGAGGUUUGAUCUUACAGGAAAUGACUUUUAAGUCUAUGCAUUUGUGAGAAUUGUUGCAAGUAUGAAUGAUCUGUUUCUUGUUAACACUUGAAGCAUACUUAAAAUAUGCCACAUUCUUAACACUUACAUGGCUCUUAUCCAGUAUAAAUAUUUGGUGAACAACAAUACUUUUCCUAAUAGAAUAGCUUUGCCACAUUCUUUGCAUUUGUAUAGUUUCUCCCCAGCAUGAAUUUUCUGGUGUUGAGAAAUGUGUGAUCUUUGAUAAAGAGCUUUGCCACAUUCUUUAAACUUGUAUGGACUUUUCCUAGUAUUAAUUCUCUUGUGUCAAAUACGUUAUAUUUGAUUAGGCUUUGCCACAUUCUCCAAAUUUGUAUGGCUUUUCUCCCAUAAGAAGUCUCUGGUGUUGACUAAGGAGUGACCUUCAAUUAGAAGCUUUGCUACAUUAUAGAUAUUUGUAUGGUUUCUCCCUAGUAUCAAUUCUCUGGUAUUGAGUAAGGCAUGAUUUUCGAUUCAAAGCUUUGCCACAUUCUUUACAUUUGUAUGCCAUUUCUCCACUAUGAAGCCUCCGGUGUCGAGUAAGGUGUGAUUUUUUUGAUUAAAAGCUUUGCCACAUUCUUUAUAUUUCUAUGGAUUUUCUCCAGUAUGAAUACUCUGGUGUUGAUUAAGGCAUGAUUUUUUUAUUAAAAACGUUGCCACUUUUCUUCACAUUUGUAUGCCAUUUCUCCAGUAUGAACUCUCUGCUGUGGAAUAAGUUGUGACUUUCGAUUAAAAGCUUUGCCACAUUCUUUA